RNAcentral lists this non-coding RNA (34 nucleotides) under Prorocentrum micans. The record is from RNAcentral. Lineage: Eukaryota; Dinophyceae; Prorocentrales; Prorocentraceae.
UUUUUUUUUUUUUUUUUUUUUUUCCUGGUUCUUC